Molecule: ribosomal RNA, 247 nt
Filed under: uncultured phototrophic eukaryote
Lineage: Eukaryota
Description: partial 16S ribosomal RNA
Rfam family: Bacterial small subunit ribosomal RNA
Source: RNAcentral
UUAAGGAAGAAGAUCUGACGGUACUUAAGGUGGAAAGCAUCGGCUAACUCCGUGCCAGCAGCCGCGGUAAGACGGGGGAUGCAAGUGUUAUCCGGAAUCACUGGGCGUAAAGCGUCUGCAGGUGGUUUCCUAAGUCCACUGUUAAACCUUGAGGCUCAACCUCAAAUCUGCAUUGGAAACUAGGAGACUUGAGUAUAGUAGGGGUAGAGGGAAUUUCCAGUGGAGCGGUGAAAUGCGUAGAUAUUGG